This 253-nucleotide ribosomal RNA is filed under the name uncultured bacterium. Its description in RNAcentral is "partial 16S ribosomal RNA". It matches the Rfam family "Bacterial small subunit ribosomal RNA", at positions 524 to 776 of the family's 1533-position model. The record is from RNAcentral.
GACAGAGGGUGCAAACGUUGCUCGGAAUCACUGGGCGUAAAGGGCGUGUAGGCGGGAAGGAUAGUCAGAUGUGAAAUCCCUGGGCUCAACCCAGGAACUGCAUUUGAAACUCCCUUUCUUGAGUGUCGGAGAGGAAAGCGGAAUUCCUGGUGUAGAGGUGAAAUUCGUAGAUAUCAGGAGGAACACCGGUGGCGAAGGCGGGUCUCUGGGCCGAUACUGACGCUGAGGAGCGAAAGCGUGGGGAGCAAACGGG